AUCUGUGUCAGAAAACAAUUCUAUCAAAACUAAAUAAUAUGUCGUACUGUACAAAAACAAUGUAGGCCAUUUACAUUUACAUUUAUAUAAUAAAGUUUAAAAUUUGGUGUGAUAUUAAUUAUAUUUUUUGGAACAAUAUACUGUGUUGGGAGUCAAUAUGCUAGGGCCCAUUCGUUAUUGCGGUCAUUUGAAACUUAUGAACCAUGCGUCGCUCGCGGUGAACAGUAACGCUCUAGGGCAGAUGAUCAUAAAUCUGGCGUCUCGAGUUCACUAUUCAAAAACUCCGGAUGAGUGUAAGGGUUCUUCAACUACUCCCUGCACUUGCAAGGAUGUCGCUCAGACAGCGGGCAGGCGGGUGGAGGCGUGGCCGAAGCCCGACCCGCCGCCGCAGCCCUGGCGAGCCGAGUGCCCGCGCGAGCCGCAGCCCCCCAACUACGACCCCUACCGGAUCAAGGUCCCGGACGUCGUAGUGCCGCCGUUCCCUCCUAGCAACGCCAAGCCAAUGCUCGAUUGUGCGAAGAUGAAGGGUUCGUGCUCGCUCAAGCCCUUCCACGAGCCGCCGCCCGGUCCGCCGCCUACGCCGCCGCCCUACACCAAUUCAUUGUACCUGUUAGCUAUAUUGUCCGUGUUUGGUGCGUUUGGUCUGAUGUUUAGAUUUUGGGUAUGGUGGGAUCAAAAGACGAAGCAAGAUGAAAGCAGAGCGCAAUGGCGACCGCGACGGAAGUUUAAGAGUCCGUAUUCCGAAACAGAUCUACCGCCAUGUGUACAGUACCUUAUAAUUGGCACUGGGGCGGCCGGCUGGGCUGCCUAUAGAGCCAUCAUGGAACACGACAAAAAAGCCCGGGUAUUUUUUAUAACGAGAGAGGAUAUGGUCCCCUAUAAGAGGCCGCCCAUGUCUAAACAAAUGUGGUUGAAUGAGGAUCCUCCAGACAUCAAACUCCUGAGAUAUGUUGAAGACAUGCAGCUGAAAAGCAUGCUAAACGCGCAGUGCUCAGACUUCCUAGACCCCGUCAGUUUCUACCGCAAGAAGAACGGACCGGCGCUGUCCAUUGCGACGGGCUGGUGCGUGCUGCGCAUCGACGCGGACGACCACGUCGCCUACAUCAAGACCAUGGGCGGCGAGAGGCCCAUCUACUACGAGAGGUGUUUACUGGCGCCAGGAUCUGCGCCCAGGAACUUAGAUGUCUUCAAGUCCGCGCCGAAGAAUGUCCGGGCAAGAAUAUGCAAGAUGCGGACUAUCAGAGAUUUAGAGGUUUCGUUCAGGAAAGUGAGAGAAGCGAAAUCUGUCGUAAUUAUUGGCGGCGGUUGCCUCGGCUGCGAGCUGGCGUGGCAUAUAGGAAGAAUGAACAAGAUAAUAGAGCGACCUGACGAGAUGCCGCCGCUGCAGAUCAUGCACGUGUACAAGGACAAGGGCAUCCUAUCGUCAAUACUGCCGGAGUACCUGGGCGAGUGGGCCGCCGAGAUCAUCAAGUGCGAGGGCGUCACCAUGGUGCCCAAGACGCAAGUGUAUGACGCAUUUGAGUCACCCGAUGGCCGGUUAGAACUUACGCUAUCGAACGGUGAAUCAUUGGUUUGCGAUUAUGCGUUCCUAUGCAUCGGCGCGGAGCCCCGGGUGGACAUGGCGGAGAACUCGUACCUGGAGCAGGACCCCGUCAACGGCGGCUACCUCGUCAACACAGAGAUGGAGGCCAGGACACAUCUGUACAUUGCGGGCGACGCUGCGAGCUACUACUCGCAGUGGAAGGACACGCGCAUGCGCAGCGACCACUACCAGAACGCCGAGGAGCAGGGCUACAUCGCGGGCGCCAACAUGACCGGCUACUGGACGCCCUGCAACAUGGAGCCCAACUACCACGUCAAACUCGGCGAACAUCUCAAUAUGGAGGUGGUCGGCGAGGUGGGCGCUUGUAUGCCCAUCAUUGGGGUUUUCAAGGAGUGUGACGACCAGGACUCCGUGGACGAGGCCAACGAGAUCGCUGGCGGGACCCUCGCCAGCGGCAAGCGGAAAUGUUACAAGGACAGUACCCUGGAGUACCAGAACAGGUACAAGCGGGGCCUGCUGUUCUACAUGAGGGAUGAGACGGUGGUCGGGUUCGUGUUCUGGAACUUGCCGCCCAUCGACGACCGCAGAGGCGUGGCUACUGAGCUGCUCCGGGCAAAGCCUACGUACAGAGACAUCAAUGUAUUGGCUCAGCUACUUGGAUUCCCUGAAGCCCGCUGCGUCUACAAGAAGGCUGUUAAAGAAGCCGAAAAAGAAGUCUGCCUUACAAAGGAUUGCCAACCUAAACCAAAAGAUAAAGAUUGCCCGACUAUAAACAGAUACAGAUACUGAUACAGGCCGCAGACGACAGCCCUGUUCUCUUUAAGGGUUGCCAUAGUAUUGCCGAGACAAGCUCUUCGUCUGCGGAGCCGCCCGCCGCUGCCGCGCACCGCACUUCCUUGUUGUUACGACCGUCGCAACAUUCCGGAACUCCCUCGAACUCCUACUUGUUCGCUAUCGUUGCCGGCCGUGACUCACCACGCGUAACGCUAAACAUUCAAUAACAUGUUAUUAACUAACGUUUAUUGUAAGACUCCAUUGCGAUUGUUAUAAAAGUUAGGCUGACUGUUAUGAAAGUAAAUGAAACGUUACAUCACGCGGCAACUUUAGUUAACAAUCGAUAACUUUUUGUGAAUGUAUGUUACCAAGAAAUGUACAAACAAAAAGGAAGUGCGGUGUUCGGCGUCAUCGGUAGCAUACAGUAAAUGGCUCUCGCAAAAAAAGAGUAAAAGUUGGAAGGUAUGGUAAAAAAAGUCAAGAAGUACCU
Trichoplusia ni (cabbage looper) is the source of this 2807-nucleotide RNA transcript. It is a transcript of the gene named apoptosis-inducing factor 1, mitochondrial, with no coding region annotated. The record is from RefSeq and is a predicted model, not a curated record. Lineage: Eukaryota; Metazoa; Arthropoda; Insecta; Lepidoptera; Noctuidae. The transcript is spliced from 18 exons.